Molecule: ribosomal RNA, 1793 nt
Filed under: Klebsiella aerogenes
Lineage: Bacteria; Pseudomonadati; Pseudomonadota; Gammaproteobacteria; Enterobacterales; Enterobacteriaceae
Description: partial 23S ribosomal RNA
Rfam family: Bacterial large subunit ribosomal RNA
Source: RNAcentral
GGUGUGACUGCGUACCUUUUGUAUAAUGGGUCAGCGACUUAUAUUCUGUAGCAAGGUUAACCGUAUAGGGGAGCCGCAGGGAAACCGAGUCUUAACUGGGCGUUAAGUUGCAGGGUAUAGACCCGAAACCCGGUGAUCUAGCCAUGGGCAGGUUGAAGGUUGGGUAACACUAACUGGAGGACCGAACCGACUAAUGUUGAAAAAUUAGCGGAUGACUUGUGGCUGGGGGUGAAAGGCCAAUCAAACCGGGAGAUAGCUGGUUCUCCCCGAAAGCUAUUUAGGUAGCGCCUCGUGAAUUCAUCUUCGGGGGUAGAGCACUGUUUCGGCUAGGGGGUCAUCCCGACUUACCAACCCGAUGCAAACUACGAAUACCGAAGAAUGUUAUCACGGGAGACACACGGCGGGUGCUAACGUCCGUCGUGAAGAGGGAAACAACCCAGACCGCCAGCUAAGGUCCCAAAGUCACAGUUAAGUGGGAAACGAUGUGGGAAGGCACAGACAGCCAGGAUGUUGGCUUAGAAGCAGCCAUCAUUUAAAGAAAGCGUAAUAGCUCACUGGUCGAGUCGGCCUGCGCGGAAGAUGUAACGGGGCUAAACUGUGCACCGAAGCUGCGGCAGCGACACUAGGUGUUGUUGGGUAGGGGAGCGUUCUGUAAGCCUGCGAAGGUGGCCUGUGAGGGUUGCUGGAGGUAUCAGAAGUGCGAAUGCUGACAUAAGUAACGAUAAUGCGGGUGAAAAGCCCGCACGCCGGAAGACCAAGGGUUCCUGUCCAACGUUAAUCGGGGCAGGGUGAGUCGACCCCUAAGGCGAGGCCGAAAGGCGUAGUCGAUGGGAAACAGGUUAAUAUUCCUGUACUUGGUGUUACUGCGAAGGGGGGACGGAGAAGGCUAUGUUAGCCGGGCGACGGUUGUCCCGGUUUAAGCAUGUAGGCGGAGGUUCCAGGUAAAUCCGGUACCUUUUAACGCUGAGGUGUGAUGACGAGGCACUACGGUGCUGAAGUAACAAAUGCCCUGCUUCCAGGAAAAGCCUCUAAGCAUCAGGUAACAUUGAAUCGUACCCCAAACCGACACAGGUGGUCAGGUAGAGAAUACCAAGGCGCUUGAGAGAACUCGGGUGAAGGAACUAGGCAAAAUGGUGCCGUAACUUCGGGAGAAGGCACGCUGAUAUGUAGGUGAAGCCCCUGCGGGUGGAGCUGAAAUCAGUCGAAGAUACCAGCUGGCUGCAACUGUUUAUUAAAAACACAGCACUGUGCAAACACGAAAGUGGACGUAUACGGUGUGACGCCUGCCCGGUGCCGGAAGGUUAAUUGAUGGGGUUAUCCGUAAGGAGAAGCUCUUGAUCGAAGCCCCGGUAAACGGCGGCCGUAACUAUAACGGUCCUAAGGUAGCGAAAUUCCUUGUCGGGUAAGUUCCGACCUGCACGAAUGGCGUAAUGAUGGCCAGGCUGUCUCCACCCGAGACUCAGUGAAAUUGAACUCGCUGUGAAGAUGCAGUGUACCCGCGGCAAGACGGAAAGACCCCGUGAACCUUUACUAUAGCUUGACACUGAACAUUGAGCCUUGAUGUGUAGGAUAGGUGGGAGGCUUUGAAGCGUGGACGCCAGUCUGCGUGGAGCCAACCUUGAAAUACCACCCUUUAAUGUUUGAUGUUCUAACGUUGGCCCCUGAUCGGGGUUGCGGACAGUGUCUGGUGGGUAGUUUGACUGGGGCGGUCUCCUCCCAAAGAGUAACGGAGGAGCACGAAGGUUAGCUAAUCCUGGUCGGACAUCAGGAGGUUAGUGCAAUGGCAUAAGCUA